This 429-nucleotide ribosomal RNA is filed under the name Bacillota bacterium. Its description in RNAcentral is "Firmicutes bacterium partial 16S ribosomal RNA". It matches the Rfam family "Bacterial small subunit ribosomal RNA", at positions 355 to 776 of the family's 1533-position model. Lineage: Bacteria; Bacillati; Bacillota. The record is from RNAcentral.
UAGGGAAUCUUCGGCAAUGGACGGAAGUCUGACCGAGCAACGCCGCGUGAGUGAAGAAGGUUUUCGGAUCGUAAAGCUCUGUUGUUAGAGAAGAACGUUGGUAGGAGUGGAAAAUCUACCAAGUGACGGUAACUAACCAGAAAGGGACGGCUAACUACGUGCCAGCAGCCGCGGUAAUACGUAGGUCCCGAGCGUUGUCCGGAUUUAUUGGGCGUAAAGCGAGCGCAGGCGGUUCUUUAAGUCUGAAGUUAAAGGCAGUGGCUUAACCAUUGUACGCUUUGGAAACUGGAGGACUUGAGUGCAGAAGGGGGGAGUGGAAUUCCAUGUGUAGCGGUGAAAUGCGUAGAUAUAUGGAGGAACACCGGUGGCGAAAGCGGCUCUCUGGUCUGUAACUGACGCUGAGGCUCGAAAGCGUGGGGAGCAAACAGG